UAAAAAUGACUUCGUUUUCCUCCUCUCUUAGCACGCUGUCUUCUUCUUUGCCUAUGAUACUCUGAGAAUUUGUCGAGAUCGAGAUCUGAGUUUUCUCAUCUGAGUUUAUCCGUAGAAGCAGAAAGGCCAUCGCAGGACUCGUAGUGACUCGUAGUGAUUUGUCGAGAUCGACCCGUCACGCCAUCUCCAAAGCCCUUUGCUGAAAACGGAGAUUCUCUCCACCAUCAGAUACAAAAAGGAGUUUAAGAACUUUGCUGCUUCUUAGUGACUUGUAACUUGUAAGUGCCUUAAUUUCGUGCUUUUGCUUUUUUAGAAGUCACACACACUAUCGAUUUUGCUUUUGUAGGAGAUUUUUAUUUUCUCUUAGUCUAGAGACAGUUUUGUUUGUUCGCCACUGUGCCUUGAGCCCUUGAGCUUGUUCUUUCAAUGUGCUUUGUCUGCAAAUCUGAUGGGGUCGAUUAUAAAGGCGUGGGGUUGCUUUCUAAUAUUGAUUGCCAAUCUAGAAUUCUCCCUGCAUACAUGUAGUAUUGACCUUGUUGUGAUAAAAAUUGAAUCAGCCUGUUUAAAGUUUUGAGCUUUUAGUUUUCCACUUUCUAAGUUCUGUUUUUUUCUGAGAUAAUUUGGACUGUGAUUGGUUUAUUGAUCUAGAAAAGAGUAAAUUUAUAAGACUGAUUCUUUGAAAGUGUGCUGAGGUCAAAGAGAUUUUAUCAUGGACUGUUUGUUAUUUUGGCUUACGUGUUCUUGUCACUGCAGUUCUUAAAGCAGCUGCAACGUCUGCUUAUUUUGUAACUUGCUUCAUUGGCUCGUUGCUAAAUCUCUAAUUCAGUUGACAGGAUUAUUGCAUAUCUUUUUUCUACAUUCAGUCUUUAGACUUUAGCUUCAGUAGUAUUACUUCUCUUCGAUUUCCUUAAAACAGAAACUAUGAUUCUUUUAUUUUCAAAAGUUCCCUGCUUUCUGUUUUGUAUUUUGCUCUCCGUUUUUUUAUGUUUUUUUGAAAACUCACACACACGUAUCAGAUCUCUUAUCUCUUAUGUUUUUUUGUGCUGUAGAAUGGAUUCUCAAACACUUGAGACAAUGGCAGCUCUUAAUGCUGAGAAUGAGUACAUGGAAAUUAAUGAGGAUGAAACAGAGACUCCAGCUGCAACACACAGUGAAACACAACCUACUCAACCAGUUCAAAAGGUACCAAACUCUAAUAAACGCCAGAAAUCUAAGGUUUGGAAUGAGUUUGUGUCAGUUGGAGUAGAGGAAGAUGGUAAACAUAGGAGUAGAUGCAUCCACUGUAGUAAGAAGUUAGUAACGGAAUCUACUCAGGGAACUUCAGCUAUGAAUCGCCAUUUAAAAUGUUGUCCAAUGAGGCCUCCAGAAAAUGAAGAAAAUCAAUAUGAUCAUAAGAUAGACCGUGCUAUGAUUAGUGAGAUUAUUAUCUAUCAUGAUCAGCCUUUCCGAUAUGUUGAAUAUGAAAAGUUUAGAGCUAGAGCUAAGUAUUUGAACCCCAAAGUUCGACAUAUAUGCCGACAAACAGCUGCAUCUGAUGUCUACAAGAGAUAUGGAAUUGAAAAGGAAUUGUUGAAAAAGAUAUUUGCAGAGCACAAAGGCAGAGUGAGUUUUACAUCAGAUAUGUGGACAGCUCGUUACACUAUGAUGAGCUACAUCUGUUUAACUGCACACUAUGUCGAUGAUAACUGGAGAUUGAACAAUAAAAUUCUUGCUUUUUGUGAAUUGAAACCGCCACAUACUGAUGAAGAAAUAGCUAGUAAAAUUCUUAGUUGCUUAAGGGAAUGGGGUCUAGAGAGAAAAGUUUUCUCUAUGACGUUGGAUAAUGCUACAGCUAAUACCAGUAUGCAGAACAUUCUUAAGCAUCGGUUACAGAUGAUCACUAGUAAUGGAUUGCUGUGUGACGGGAAAUUCUUCCAUGUUAGGUGCUGCGCGCAUAUUCUAAAUCUCAUUGUAAAAGAAGGAUUGGAGCUGGCUGCUAGUCUUUUAGAAAACAUUCGUGAGAGUGUGAGAUUUGUCAAAGCAUCUGGAUCAAGGAUAGACUCAUUUGCACAAUGUGUUGAAAGUUUAGGUAUCAAAAGUGGAGCUGGGUUGUCUCUUGAUGUACCAACACGGUGGAACUCAACAUAUGAGAUGCUUGCUAGGGCUUUGAAGUUCCGCAGGGCAUUUGCUAGUUUUAAAGAGUGUGAUAGGAAUUACAAAACACUGCCUUCUGAGGAUGAAUGGGAUCGAGGAGAGAAGAUUUGUGAUUUUUUGAAGCCCUUUAGUACUAUUACCACUUAUUUCUCUGGCGUUAAAUAUCCUACAGCUAAUAUCUACUUUCUACAAGUGUGGAAAAUCGAGUGUUUAUUGAGGAAGUAUGUCAGUUGUGGGGAUAUUGCAAUGGAGGACAUGGCUAGGAAGAUGCAAUCUAAAUUUGCGAAGUAUUGGGAUGACUACAGUAUCACUCUAGCUAUGGGAGCUGUUCUUGAUCCGAGGCUGAAGAUCCAGAUACUUAAAUCAGCUUAUGACAAAGUUGAUCCUAGAACUUCUGAGAAAAAAAUUGCAAUAGUUAAGAAAAAUCUGAAGUUGCUUUAUGAAGAAUAUAAGACCAACUCUUGGACUUCUUCGACUUUUUCAGCAACACCAACUGCAAAUGAGCUUUUUACUGAAUCACCACUAGAAGAUGAUCCUUAUUAUGUAAGUCUUUUUCUAAUCUUUUCUUGUUCAAUAGCAUAUUGUAUCUUUAGCAUAUUUUUCAUGUUUUUAAUAUGUUUUUAUUGUUAUAGGAUCUUUUUGAGCUUGAGAGGAGUAUCCAACCUGGUUUAGACAAUACAAAAUCGAAUUUGGAUAUUUAUUUGGAGGAACCUAGGCUAGAUUUGAGGUCUUUUACUGAUAUUGAAGUUCUAGACUAUUGGAAAAACAACGGGCAACGCUAUGGUGAUUUGGCUUCUCUAGCUAGUGAUUUGCUUAGUAUUCCCAUUACCACAGUAGCUUCGGAGUCUGCGUUUAGUACUGGAGGUCGGGUAUUAAACCCAUAUAGAAACCGCCUUCUUCCAAAAAAUGUCCAGGCAUUGAUUUGCACGCGCAAUUGGUUGCGUGGUUUUGCAGAGCUUGAAGGUAACUCAAAAUUAGCUUAUACAUUCGUUACUUUUAAGUAUAUUAUUAACUCAUUCAUAUCUUCAAUUUUAGGUGAUAUUGAAGAUAACUUUGAUGAUGAAAAUGAGGAUGCUACCACGGCAAGUUGCUCAUGAGUAUAAUUAUGCUAUCAGAUUUCAUUUCAAGAUGAAGACAUGUGAGAUCUUUAUUAGUUUUUGAUAUUUGGAUGAUUUUGUGGUGAGAACAUGAUUAUAUAAUUCAAUUAUUUCGAUCUCUUGGAUCAAGCAAAGCGUUGUUCAAUAGAAGAACUAAAUGACCUUUAUAAGCUAUAAGCUAUAAUUUGAACAUGGAA
This 3427-nucleotide long non-coding RNA is filed under the name Eutrema salsugineum. RNAcentral describes it as "long non-coding RNA (ESAL_LNC000986)". Lineage: Eukaryota; Viridiplantae; Streptophyta; Magnoliopsida; Brassicales; Brassicaceae. The record is from RNAcentral.